GAUGAACGCUGGCGGCGUGCCUAAUACAUGCAAGUCGAGCGAACAGACGAGGAGCUUGCUCCUUUGACGUUAGCGGCGGACGGGUGAGUAACACGUGGGUAACCUAUCUAUAAGACUGGGAUAACUUCGGGAAACCGGAGCUAAUACCGGAUAAUAUUUCGAACCGCAUGGUUCGAUAGUGAAAGAUGGCUUUGCUAUCACUUAUAGAUGGACCUGCGCCGUAUUAGCUAGUUGGUAAGGUAACGGCUUACCAAGGCAACGAUACGUAGCCGACCUGAGAGGGUGAUCGGCCACACUGGAACUGAGACACGGUCCAGACUCCUACGGGAGGCAGCAGUAGGGAAUCUUCCGCAAUGGGCGAAAGCCUGACGGAGCAACGCCGCGUGAGUGAUGAAGGUCUUCGGAUCGUAAAACUCUGUUAUUAGGGAAGAACAAACGUGUAAGUAACUGUGCACGUCUUGACGGUACCUAAUCAGAAAGCCACGGCUAACUACGUG
RNAcentral lists this ribosomal RNA (497 nucleotides) under uncultured bacterium. RNAcentral's name for it is "partial 16S ribosomal RNA". It matches the Rfam family "Bacterial small subunit ribosomal RNA", at positions 28 to 507 of the family's 1533-position model. The record is from RNAcentral.